AUGAGUUUUAAACCUCACGAGUGCUGGGCUCUGCCUUGGGAGCCCUGGUGGGGCCGGGAGCAAGGCAACCCCAGGGACCCUUGCCUCUGGUGUCAGCAGAGCGGUGCUGGCGUCUCGGUGCCGUCUAUAUGGGAAAUGUUGGUUUCCAUAGGAACGGCCUGUGGCAGCGCUGGCUUUUGGGGGAGGUGGCAUCUGGAUGGUGGCAGGAGCCUGGCGUGGCUGCGCCUCGCUAACUCAGUCUCCCUCCCUCUGCAAACAUUGGAUUUAAACCUGCUCAGAAUUCAGCACAGACGAAAGCGGCAGCAGCGGCGGCGGCGGCAGCAGCAGCAAGCAGCAAGCAAAUCAGCCGCUAGCCUAGUGCAGCUCCAAGAUGUACCAUCCUGCCUGCUGGAUCGUCUUCACCGCCACAACUGCCCUGCUCUUCAUCCCAGCUCUGCCGUGCCCGACACCCCGAGGACCGAGCAAAGCUCCUGUGCAAGCACCCGUGCAGCCCCUUCCCCUGGCCAGCUCCAGCACCGGGGCGCAGGAUUCGGCCCGUCGUGGCAGCACGGCGCGGGGAGCGCUGUUACCGUGCGAACAGCCGCCGUCGCCUGUCAGCGCAGUCAUAUCCUUUUGUCGGGUAGAUAA
This 627-nucleotide long non-coding RNA is filed under the name Anser cygnoides (Swan goose). RNAcentral's name for it is "lncRNA (ENSACDG00005011423.1)". The record is from RNAcentral. Lineage: Eukaryota; Metazoa; Chordata; Aves; Anseriformes; Anatidae.